This 123-nucleotide ribosomal RNA is filed under the name Carlito syrichta (Philippine tarsier). Lineage: Eukaryota; Metazoa; Chordata; Mammalia; Primates; Tarsiidae. The record is from RNAcentral.
UAUAUCGGCCAUACCACCCUGAACGCACCCGAUCUCAUCUGAUCUCGGAAGCUAAGCAGGGUCGGGCCUGGUUAGUACUUGCAUGGGAGAACCCCUUUCUAUCUUACCAAUUUUUUGAUAGUU